Cloeon dipterum is the source of this 522-nucleotide long non-coding RNA. RefSeq lists it as uncharacterized. NCBI's taxonomy places the organism in Eukaryota, Metazoa, Arthropoda, Insecta, Ephemeroptera, Baetidae. The transcript is spliced from 3 exons. The record is from RefSeq and is a predicted model, not a curated record.
UAUGUUCUUUACUACCCUCGCAGCGCCCUUGCGUCUUGCUUCUCACAACCUGUUGCGUCUAGAAUUUUAGAUGUGAUGGAACUGCCAAAUUUGAGCUCUAACCAAAACCCUGAAGUCGAAAUAGAAAUAAAUGGGGGUCUUUUAGACUCGAUCAUAAAUUAUGACUGGGGCGCAAGAAAUAUUUCGAGCAAGAUCGAGCUCUUGCACAGAGAACUAAUGUUGAGAACUACGAAAGGGGAGUGCUUCAAUGCUUUCGGUGACCAGCUUGGAUCUCCUGCCAGAUCGUUAUCGUUUUACCAAGAGCAGCUUGUUUCUUUAAGCAAAGUCAACCGCUGCGGUGCUUGGAACAAGGCUUUAGGCAAUGAACGACAAAGGAGUGGCGCUAAAAGCUAUGAUAGUUUUAAAAAAUUAUCAGCUACAUUUUUCCUUUUAGUAUGCUUCUCGAUGAUAAUCAACUAAAACGUAUAAAAUAUACAAUAAAUGAGAAGAGACGGAAAUUAAAUAUAUAAUAAAUUAGUGACU